CCUCAUAGGGAUUUGGGAACCACUUACAGU
This 30-nucleotide non-coding RNA is filed under the name Rattus norvegicus (Norway rat). Lineage: Eukaryota; Metazoa; Chordata; Mammalia; Rodentia; Muridae. The record is from RNAcentral.